RNAcentral lists this ribosomal RNA (433 nucleotides) under uncultured bacterium. Its description in RNAcentral is "partial 16S ribosomal RNA". It matches the Rfam family "Bacterial small subunit ribosomal RNA", at positions 29 to 507 of the family's 1533-position model. The record is from RNAcentral.
AACGAACGCUGGCGGCAUGCCUAACACAUGCAAGUCGAACGAGACCUUCGGGUCUAGUGGCGCACGGGUGCGUAACGCGUGGGAACCUGCCCUUAGGUUCGGAAUAACUCCCCGAAAGGGGUGCUAAUACCGGAUAAUGUCUUCGGACCAAAGAUUUAUCGCCUUUGGAUGGGCCCGCGUUGGAUUAGCUAGUUUGUAGAGUAAAAGCCUACCAAGGCGACGAUACAUACCUGGUCUGAGAGGAUGAUCAGCCACACUGGGACUGAGACACGGCCAAGAUCACUACGGGAGGCAGCAGUAGAUAAUAUUAGACCAUGGGCGAAACGCUGCUCCAGCUAUGCCGCGUGAGUGAUGAAGGGCUUAGGAUUGUAAAGCUCUUUUAGCCGGGAAGUUAAUGACAGUACCGGAAGAAUCAGCUCCGGCUAACUACGUG